RNAcentral lists this ribosomal RNA (1136 nucleotides) under uncultured bacterium. RNAcentral's name for it is "bacterial SSU rRNA". It matches the Rfam family "Bacterial small subunit ribosomal RNA", at positions 69 to 1211 of the family's 1533-position model. The record is from RNAcentral.
AGAUUUCGGAGCAAUCUGAAAGGACACUGGCGCACGGGUGUGUAACGCGUAGGUAACCUACCUUCUGCUGGGGGAUAACAUCGGGAAACCGGUGCUAAUACCGCAUAAAGCAACAGUCACGCAUGUGGCAGUUGUUAAAGAAUUUCGGCAGAAGAUGGGCCUGCGUGUCAUUAGUUAGUUGGUAAGGUAACGGCUUACCAAGACGAUGAUGACUAGGGGGUCUGAGAGGAUGAUCCCCCACACUGGAACUGAGACACGGUCCAGACUCCUACGGGAGGCAGCAGUGAGGAAUCUUGCGCAAUGGGGGAAACCCUGACGCAGCCACGCCGCGUGCCAGAUGAAGGCCCUACGGGUCGUAAAUGGCUUUUGGUCGGGAAGAUAAGCCGGGUUUCGACCUGGUGUGACGGUACCGACUGAAUAAGCACCGGCUAACUCCGUGCCAGCAGCCGCGGUAAUACGGAGGGUGCAAGCGUUGUCCGGAAUCAUUGGGUGUAAAGGGUGCGUAGGCGGAUGCCUAAGUCUGGGGUGAAAUCUUGCAGCUUAACUGUAAAAUUGCCUCGGAUACUGGGCGUCUUGAGUACAGAAGAGGAUGGUGGAAUUCGUAGUGUAGCGGUGAAAUGCAUAGAUAUUACGAAGAACACCGGUGGCGAAAGCGGCCAUCUGGUCUGUUACUGACGCUGAGGCACGAAAGCGUGGGGAGCGAACAGGAUUAGAUACCCUGGUAGUCCACGCCGUAAACGAUGUGUGCUAGUUGUUGGCCUGUAUGGGCCAGUGACGUAGUUAACGCGCUAAGCACACCACCUGGGGAGUACGUUCGCAAGAAUGAAACUCAAAGGAAUUGACGGGGGCCCGCACAAGCGGUGGAGCAUGUGGCUUAAUUCGAUGCAACGCGAAGAACCUUACCUGGGCUAAAUCAUAGUGGAAAUAGCUAGAAAUAGCUAUGCCUUCGGGCCGCUAUGAAGGUGCUGCAUGGCUGUCGUCAGCUCGUGCCGUGAGGUGUUGCCUUAAGUGGCGCAACGAGCGCAACCCCUGUGACUAGUUACCAGCACAUAAUGGUGGGGACUCUAGUCAGACUGCCUACGCAAGUAGUGAGGAAAGUGGGGACGACGUCAAGUCAUCAUGGCCCUUACGUCCAG